This 1390-nucleotide ribosomal RNA is filed under the name Microbacterium arborescens. Its description in RNAcentral is "bacterial SSU rRNA". It matches the Rfam family "Bacterial small subunit ribosomal RNA". The record is from RNAcentral. Lineage: Bacteria; Bacillati; Actinomycetota; Actinomycetes; Micrococcales; Microbacteriaceae.
AGAGUUUGAUCAUGGCUCAGGAUGAACGCUGGCGGCGUGCUUAACACAUGCAAGUCGAACGGUGAAGCAGAGCUUGCUCUGUGGAUCAGUGGCGAACGGGUGAGUAACACGUGAGCAAUCUGCCCCUGACUCUGGGAUAAGCGCUGGAAACGGCGUCUAAUACCGGAUACGAGCUGCGACCGCAUGGUCAGUAGCUGGAAAGAAUUUCGGUCAGGGAUGAGCUCGCGGCCUAUCAGCUUGUUGGUGAGGUAAUGGCUCACCAAGGCGUCGACGGGUAGCCGGCCUGAGAGGGUGACCGGCCACACUGGGACUGAGACACGGCCCAGACUCCUACGGGAGGCAGCAGUGGGGAAUAUUGCACAAUGGGCGCAAGCCUGACGCAGCAACGCCGCGUGAGGGAUGACGGCCUUCGGGUUGUAAACCUCUUUUAGCAGGGAAGAAGCGAAAGUGACGGUACCUGCAGAAAAAGCGCCGGCUAACUACGUGCCAGCAGCCGCGGUAAUACGUAGGGCGCAAGCGUUAUCCGGAAUUAUUGGGCGUAAAGAGCUCGUAGGCGGUCUGUCGCGUCUGCUGUGAAAACCCGAGGCUCAACCUCGGGCCUGCAGUGGGUACGGGCAGACUAGAGUGCGGUAGGGGAGAUUGGAAUUCCUGGUGUAGCGGUGGAAUGCGCAGAUAUCAGGAGGAACACCGAUGGCGAAGGCAGAUCUCUGGGCCGUAUCUGACGCUGAGGAGCGAAGGGUGGGGAGCAAACAGGCUUAGAUACCCUGGUAGUCCACCCCGUAAACGUUGGGAACUAGUUGUGGGGUCCAUUCCACGGAUUCCGUGACGCAGCUAACGCAUUAAGUUCCCCGCCUGGGGAGUACGGCCGCAAGGCUAAAACUCAAAGGAAUUGACGGGGACCCGCACAAGCGGCGGAGCAUGCGGAUUAAUUCGAUGCAACGCGAAGAACCUUACCAAGGCUUGACAUAUAGAGGAAACGUCUGGAAACAGUCGCCCCGCAAGGUCUCUAUACAGGUGGUGCAUGGUUGUCGUCAGCUCGUGUCGUGAGAUGUUGGGUUAAGUCCCGCAACGAGCGCAACCCUCGUUCUAUGUUGCCAGCACGUAUGGUGGGAACUCAUGGGAUACUGCCGGGGUCAACUCGGAGGAAGGUGGGGAUGACGUCAAAUCAUCAUGCCCCUUAUGUCUUGGGCUUCACGCAUGCUACAAUGGCCGGUACAAAGGGCUGCAAUACCGUGAGGUGGAGCGAAUCCCAAAAAGCCGGUCCCAGUUCGGAUUGAGGUCUGCAACUCGACCUCAUGAAGUCGGAGUCGCUAGUAAUCGCAGAUCAGCAACGCUGCGGUGAAUACGUUCCCGGGUCUUGUACACACCGCCCGUCACACACGGUACCAUA